Long non-coding RNA from Apis mellifera (honey bee), 1266 nucleotides. RefSeq lists it as uncharacterized. Lineage: Eukaryota; Metazoa; Arthropoda; Insecta; Hymenoptera; Apidae. The record is from RefSeq and is a predicted model, not a curated record. The transcript is spliced from 5 exons.
GUGUGACGGUAUUAUCAUCGUUCGUAAUUACUGACACGUAGAACGUAUAUGUACGAUAGGAUAAGUUCGUUUCAGAAGUUACCUGAUAACGACCUAAACCAAUAAUUCGACAAAAAGCUAUAUAAUACUUCCACGUUAUAUUUCAUUUUAAAACUAUAAAAAGAAGUUAAUACAAGCAGUACGAAAUGAUAGCAUGUAUCGCUUUGAAGUCAUUUAUCGCCGAGUUAUGCAUAAAAUACACAUUGAUAUAACUGUGUUGCAUUAGUAAAACAUUAAUGCAUUAUCGUUGUUGGUUACCAAAUGUAAUAUCCAUUAAAAUAAUAUGUACCAUUAAAUUUUAUAAAAACAUCGUUCAUUGGCCUUGUAAGUAGUAUCAUUUAUUACUUUUAAGAUAUUUUUAAGUUAUGAGUCAUUUUUAAACAAACUGAAAAAGGAAAAAUCGUAAUUUUAUCUAUAGUUAAUAGAAUACUGUAGUGACACUAUAUCUUUGGAAUGGUCUUUUUUCAAAAUUGUGAUAUGAUAAUUUAAAUGUACAUGAUGAGUUCCCUCUACUUUAUGAUAUUCAAAUCUUUUAGCACCUAUUUUUAUUUGAUCUAAAACUUUAUCAUAAGAUUCAGGAUAAUCAAGUUUCAAUCCAGGUAUAGCACGAAUAUUAAGGUCGCAAACCACGUUUCAUUAAUAUUAUGGCACUUUCUCUAGUUAUGGAACCUUUAUAAGCAUCUUCAACAAUGCUAAGCACUUCAUCAUAACUAUAGGAUGGAAUACUAUCAGAUUGUAGCAAUUCAUAUUUUAAAAAUUUGUCAAUACUAUCACUAAGUAUAGCAACAUUUUUUGCCACAUCUUUUACACUAGGACUUGCAAUAUCUAAACUUAUCAUGAAUUCCACUUCAUCAGGAUAAAAUGCAGCAUAUAAAAAUGAUAUUGCCCCUCCUAAGGAAUGUCCAAAUUCUAUGAUUCAUUGAUAUGAUAGUUAUUUAAACUACUAAACUAAAUUGAGUGGUAAUAUUUAAUCCACUCGCUAACCUUCUUCCAUUUGAAAUAUUUUACAAUUCUACGAAGUAGAAUAAUACCAUCCCAAUAAACAUAAUAGUAUUGACUCUUUGGAUAAUGGGAAGAUAAACCAUGACCAGGCAUAUCCAAACAAAGUACUGAAAUCUCAUCACAUAAUAAAGGAAUCAAAGUGUCAAAACUGCCAGCAUUAUCUUGACGUCCAUGCAGAGCCACUAUUGGUUGGAUCCCUUUAGGACCCCACCAUUUGCCUGCAGG